This is a small RNA of Flavobacterium branchiophilum FL-15, 93 nucleotides long. It matches the Rfam family "Flavo-1 RNA". Lineage: Bacteria; Pseudomonadati; Bacteroidota; Flavobacteriia; Flavobacteriales; Flavobacteriaceae. The record is from Rfam.
UAUUAGCCCCGACAGUAGUGGCAUCCUUUUUGAUUAUAAAGCUUUUUUUUGGGCUUUAUAAUCAAAAAGAUACAACGAAUGGCGGGUUGUGGU